AACGAACGCUGGCGGCAUGCCUAACACAUGCAAGUCGAACGAGAUCUUCGGGUCUAGUGGCGCACGGGUGCGUAACGCGUGGGAAUCUGCCCUUUGGUUCGGAAUAACAGUUGGAAACGACUGCUAAUACCGGAUGAUGACGAAAGUCCAAAGAUUUAUCGCCAGAGGAUGAGCCGCGUAGGAUUAGCUAGUUGGUGUGGUAAAGGCGCACCAAGGCGACGAUCCUUAGCUGGUCUGAGAGGAUGAUCAGCCACACUGGGACUGAGACACGGCCCAGACUCCUACGGGAGGCAGCAGUGGGGAAUAUUGGACAAUGGGAGAAAGCCUGAUCCAGCAAUGCCGCGUGAGUGAUGAAGGCCUUAGGGUUGUAAAGCUAUUUUACCCGGGAUGAUAAUGACAGUACCGGGAGAAUAAGCUCCGGCUAACUCCGUGCCAGCCGCCGCCGUAA
This 448-nucleotide ribosomal RNA is filed under the name uncultured bacterium. RNAcentral describes it as "partial 16S ribosomal RNA". It matches the Rfam family "Bacterial small subunit ribosomal RNA", at positions 29 to 523 of the family's 1533-position model. The record is from RNAcentral.